UAGAUAUUUCACUGUAAGAUGGUAUUCAUAAUUAAGAGAUCUAUUUUCAGGCUUCCUCUGCCUGGUCUUAGACUGGACUGUGGCUGUCUAUGGACAAAGACUGUUUCCUAAUCAUUGCCCCAGGUUCCACAAUUGUUUCCAUGGAUAGAAGCUAAAGGCUGGCACCUGGCUGGAAAGUGGCACUGUGCCCAGGUACAAACGCCCCACAUAGAUACCGACACCCAAGGUAAAACAAUAGAAAUCAGGGAGAAGGGAUGGCCCAGUGGUUCAGACCACUUGCUGCUCUUGGAGAUGACCCCGAGCUUGACUUGCACACGGUAGCUCACAGUCCUCUAACUCUCGUUCCAGGGAAUCUGACACCCCCUUUCUCGCUUCCAAGAUCACCAGGCAUGGACUUGGUACAUGUACAUACAUGCAGUCAAACAAAAGUAAAUAAAUUUUAAAAAAAAUCUGUAAAACA
Psammomys obesus (fat sand rat) is the source of this 460-nucleotide long non-coding RNA. RefSeq lists it as uncharacterized. The record is from RefSeq and is a predicted model, not a curated record. NCBI's taxonomy places the organism in Eukaryota, Metazoa, Chordata, Mammalia, Rodentia, Muridae. The transcript is spliced from 2 exons.